This 91-nucleotide transfer RNA is filed under the name Streptomyces noursei. RNAcentral's name for it is "tRNA-His". The record is from RNAcentral. Lineage: Bacteria; Bacillati; Actinomycetota; Actinomycetes; Kitasatosporales; Streptomycetaceae.
GCUCGGCGUAACGGGGGGCGUUGGCGCGGUGGACGCCGGCGGAGGUGGCCUCGAAUACCAGGUCCGGGGUCUCGUCCUGGGCCAGGAGCCA